Molecule: ribosomal RNA, 427 nt
Filed under: uncultured bacterium
Lineage: Bacteria
Description: bacterial SSU rRNA
Rfam family: Bacterial small subunit ribosomal RNA
Source: RNAcentral
UGGGGAAUUUUGGACAAUGGGCGCAAGCCUGAUCCAGCCAUGCCGCGUGCAGGAUGAAGGCCUUCGGGUUGUAAACUGCUUUUGUACGGAACGAAAAGGUGCCUUCUAAUAAAGGGCGCUCAUGACGGUAGCGGGAGAAGAAGCCCCGGCUAACUCCGUGCCAGCAGCCGCGGUAAUACGGAGGGGGCUAGCGUUGUUCGGAAUUACUGGGCGUAAAGCGUACGUAGGCGGAUGCGCAAGCUGGGGGUGAAAUCCCGGGGCUUAAUCUCGUAAUUGCCCUCAAAACUGCACGUCUUGAGACCGAGAGAGGUAAGGGGAAUUCCUAGUGUAGAGGUGAAAUUCGUAGAUAUUAGGAAGAACACCAGUUGCGAAGGCGGUCUCUUGGUCCGACACUGACGCUGAGGCGCGAAAGCGUGGGGAGCAAACA